Molecule: ribosomal RNA, 610 nt
Filed under: cf. Tubulicrinis sp. 7 LR-2015
Lineage: Eukaryota; Fungi; Basidiomycota; Agaricomycetes; Hymenochaetales; Tubulicrinaceae
Description: eukaryotic LSU rRNA
Rfam family: 5.8S ribosomal RNA (bases 213-366)
Source: RNAcentral
UCUUGGUCAUUUAGAGGAAGUAAAAGUCGUAACAAGGUUUCCGUAGGUGAACCUGCGGAAGGAUCAUUAUCGAGACUACCACGCCUGAUGCUGGCCGCGAGGCAUGUGCUCGGCGUCUCGUCCCACACCUCUGUGCACCUCCGAGGGGGCGUCAGCCGCCUCGCUUCAUACACAUUGCAAAGUCUAGUCGAAUGUAUAACUUAAACAAAUACAACUUUCAACAACGGAUCUCUUGGCUCUCGCAUCGAUGAAGAACGCAGCGAAAUGCGAUAAGUAAUGUGAAUUGCAGAAUUCAGUGAAUCAUCGAAUCUUUGAACGCACCUUGCGCUCCUUGGUAUUCCGAGGAGCAUGCCUGUUUGAGUGUCAUGAAUACCUCCACCUUCCGGGCUUGACUCGGGUAGGCUGGGACUUGGGCUCUGGCGGCCUUCGGGUCGGCUGGCCUGGAAUGCAUUAGCGGGACGUCUGUGGCCCUCCGGUGUAGUAAUGCUAUUCACCGCGAGGCCUCGGGCGGACGGCUUCUAGUCGCGCUCGUCUGCGCAACACCUCAGUGUUUGACCUCAAAUCAGGUAGGACUACCCGCUGAACUUAAGCAUAUCAAUAAGCGGAGGAA